GUCAGUCUGUGUGGAGGACGGAAGAACAAGCAAUCUCCUUUUCCCAGGCUCUUCCCAGGAAAAGCCUGGCACAAUGCAGGCAGUGUUGUGGAUAGCUUGGCUGUAUUCUAAGCAAGCUGGAGCUACCAUUUUAAAACUCUUCUUCUGAUUUACGAAGACUAGGAAAUAACUGGUCCCCCCAGGUGUUCACAGAGGCACAGCUCUGUCCUGGCUGCACAUAGUCUCAAACUGAAGGUCUAGAUAUAAAGCAAAUGCAUUCAUAAGAAGACCCUGGGUGGGAUUAGCUGGCAAAAUCAGUCUAACCCAAGAGCCUUGACCACAAACCCUGAGAAGGAAAAGAGGUUUUGCCAUAGCUAUUUCCUUGCUACCUGUAUCCAAGGACAAGAUACUGUGGUGAAACCUUUACUAUCCUUACUCAGACAGUGGUUAAGGGUAGAAGUCCAGACCUAGCAGAGAAAAUAGGUAUCUCCCACACAUUUAUCUCCUGAUGAAGAGCACAGCCAUCCGCUAGUCCUUGUGGCUCUCUAGAUUGUGAGUGGAGACAGAGAAGCACCUCCAAACAGGCAGCUCCAUGACAUCCUCCUCAGAAAUGACAGCCACAGAAAACAGAGAGGAAAAGACAGAGGACUGAGUCUUAGUUCCUGUUUGUCACCAGGAGGGAAGAGCCUAACUUUGUGUCACAGAGAACAACCUUGUUCCAUUCAGGAUGGGUAG
Molecule: long non-coding RNA, 714 nt
Filed under: Parus major (Great Tit)
Lineage: Eukaryota; Metazoa; Chordata; Aves; Passeriformes; Paridae
Description: lncRNA (ENSPMJG00000007626.1)
Source: RNAcentral